AACGAACGCUGGCGGCAUGCCUAACACAUGCAAGUCGAACGAGACCUUCGGGUCUAGUGGCGCACGGGUUCGUAACGCGUGGGAACCUGCCCUUAGGUUCGGCAUAACUCCCCGAAAGGGGUGCUAAUACCGGAUCAUGUCUUCGGACCAAAGAUUUAUCGCCUUUGGAUGGGCCCGCGUUGGAUUCGCUUGUUGGUAGGGUAAAAGCCUACCAAGGCGACGAUCCAUAGCUGGUCUGAGAGGAUGAUCAGCCACACUGGGACUGAGACACGGCCCAGACUCUUACGGGAGGCAGCAGUGGGGAAUAUUGGACAAUGGGCGAAAGCCUGAUCCAGCAAUGCCGCGUGAGUGAUGAAGGCCUUAGGGUUGUAAAGCUCUUUUAACCGGGAUGAUAAUGACAGUACCGGGAGAAUAAGCUCCGGCUAACUCCGUG
Molecule: ribosomal RNA, 433 nt
Filed under: uncultured bacterium
Lineage: Bacteria
Description: partial 16S ribosomal RNA
Rfam family: Bacterial small subunit ribosomal RNA
Source: RNAcentral